AAGUGUUUGAACUGAUGAAAGUGUACCAAAAGAUGAAAUUUCAUAACUGAUGGAAGUGUAUCAAGAGAUGAAAUGUCAGAACUGAUGAAAGUGUAUCAAGAGACAAAGUGUCUGAACUGAUGAAAGUGUAUCAGGAGACAAAGUGUCAGAACAAAUGAAAGUGUAUCAGGAGACAAAGUGACAGAACUAAUGAAAGUGUAUCAAGAGACGAAGUGUCAGAACUGAAGAAAGUGUAUCAGGACACAAAGUGUCAGAACUGAUGAAAAAGUAUCAAGAGAUGAAGUGUCAGAAGUAAUGAAAGUGUAUCAAGAGACAAAGUGUCAGAACUAAUGAAAGUGUAUCAAGAGACAAAGUGGUGUAUCAAGAGACAAAGUGUCAGAACUAAUGAAAGUGUAUCAAGAGACAGUGUCAGAACUGAUGAAAGUGUAUCAAGAGACAAAGUGUCUGAACUGAUGAAAGUGUAUCAGGACACAAAGUAUCAGAACUGAUGAAAGUGUAUCAGGAGACAAAUUGUCAGAAUCCAUGAAAGUGUAUCAGGAAACAAAGUGUUGGAACUAAUGAAAGUGUAUCUGGAGACAAAGUGUUGGAACUAAUGAAAGUGUCAGGAGACAAAGUGCCAGAACAGAUGAAAGUGUAUCAAGAGACAAAGUGUCAGAACUGAUGAAAGUGUAUCAGGAAACAAAAUUUCAGAACUGAUGAAUAUGAUUCAAAAGAGAAAGUAGUAUAUGUAGAUGUUUGAGAGACAAAUUUUUGGAACUACUGGUAGUAGGUGUCUCAGGAGUUAAAGUGUCAGAACUGAUGAAAUUGUUUCAAGAGACAAAGUGUAUGAACUAAUAGGAGUGUCAAGAACAAAAAAUAAUGGGAG
Molecule: long non-coding RNA, 865 nt
Filed under: Mytilus galloprovincialis (Mediterranean mussel)
Lineage: Eukaryota; Metazoa; Mollusca; Bivalvia; Mytilida; Mytilidae
Source: RNAcentral